CCUACGGGUGGCAGCAGUGAGGAAUAUUGGUCAAUGGACGCGAGUCUGAACCAGCCAAGUAGCGUGAAGGAUGACUGCCCUAUGGGUUGUAAACUUCUUUUAUAAAGGAAUAAAACGAGGCACGUGUGCCUGUUUGCAUGUACUUUAUGAAUAAGGAUCGGCUAACUCCGUGCCAGCAGCCGCGGUAAUACGGAGGAUCCAAGCGUUAUCCGGAUUUAUUGGGUUUAAAGGGUGCGUAGAUGGGUUGUUAAGUUAGUUGUGAAAGUUUGGGGCUCAACCGUAAAAGUGCCAUUGAUACUGGCAGUCUUGAGUACAGUUGAGGUAGGCGGAAUUCGUGGUGUAGCGGUGAAAUGCUUAGAGAUCACGAAGAACCCCGAUUGCGAAGGCAGCUUACGAAACUGUGACUGACAUUGAUGCUCGAAAGUGUGGGUAUCAAACAGGAUUAGAUACCCUUGUAGUC
RNAcentral lists this ribosomal RNA (460 nucleotides) under uncultured bacterium. RNAcentral's name for it is "partial 16S ribosomal RNA". It matches the Rfam family "Bacterial small subunit ribosomal RNA", at positions 338 to 795 of the family's 1533-position model. The record is from RNAcentral.